This 101-nucleotide non-coding RNA is filed under the name Lacrimispora saccharolytica. Its description in RNAcentral is "Clostridium saccharolyticum Guanine sequence". It matches the Rfam family "Purine riboswitch aptamer". Rfam says of the family: Riboswitches are metabolite binding domains within certain messenger RNAs that serve as precision sensors for their corresponding targets. Allosteric rearrangement of mRNA structure is mediated by ligand binding, and this results in modulation of gene expression. A class of riboswitches that selectively recognises guanine and becomes saturated at concentrations as low as 5 nM. RNAcentral also lists the same sequence under 1 other name. The record is from RNAcentral. Lineage: Bacteria; Bacillati; Bacillota; Clostridia; Lachnospirales; Lachnospiraceae.
AUAGUUUUAUAUACAGUGUCUUGUAUAUGCCCGGGAUAAUGGCCUGGGCGUCUCUAUCCGACUUCCGAAAUGUCAGGGCUACAAAGGCAGUUUAUUUUUGC